This 253-nucleotide ribosomal RNA is filed under the name uncultured bacterium. RNAcentral describes it as "partial 16S ribosomal RNA". It matches the Rfam family "Bacterial small subunit ribosomal RNA", at positions 524 to 776 of the family's 1533-position model. The record is from RNAcentral.
GACGAACCGUGCGAACGUUGUUCGGAAUCACUGGGCUUAAAGGGCGCGUAGGCGGGCGGGCAAGUCAGGGGUGAAAUCCCACGGCUCAACCGUGGAAGGGCCCUUGAUACUGCCCAUCUCGAGGGAGGUAGGGGCGUGCGGAACUUCCGGUGGAGCGGUGAAAUGCGUAGAUAUCGGAAGGAACACCGGUGGCGAAAGCGGCGCGCUGGACCUCUUCUGACGCUGAGGCGCGAAAGCCAGGGGAGCAAACGGG